This 484-nucleotide ribosomal RNA is filed under the name uncultured bacterium. RNAcentral's name for it is "partial 16S ribosomal RNA". It matches the Rfam family "Bacterial small subunit ribosomal RNA", at positions 30 to 507 of the family's 1533-position model. The record is from RNAcentral.
AUUGAACGCUGGCGGCAGGCCUAACACAUGCAAGUCGAGCGGAUGAAGGGAGCUUGCUCCUGGAUUCAGCGGCGGACGGGUGAGUAAUGCCUAGGAAUCUGCCUGGUAGUGGGGGAUAACGUCCGGAAACGGGCGCUAAUACCGCAUACGUCCUGAGGGAGAAAGUGGGGGAUCUUCGGACCUCACGCUAUCAGAUGAGCCUAGGUCGGAUUAGCUAGUUGGUGGGGUAAAGGCCUACCAAGGCGACGAUCCGUAACUGGUCUGAGAGGCUGAUCAGUCACACUGGAACUGAGACACGGUCCAGACUCCUACGGGAGGCAGCAGUAGGGAAUAUUGGGCAAUGGGCGAAAGCCUGAUCCAGCCAUGCCGCGUGUGUGAAGAAGGUCUUCGGAUUGUAAAGCACUUUAAGUAGGGAGGAAGGGCAGUAAGUUAAUACAUUGCUGUUUUGACGGUACCAACAGAAUAAGCACCGGCUAACUUCGUG